RNAcentral lists this ribosomal RNA (253 nucleotides) under uncultured bacterium. Its description in RNAcentral is "partial 16S ribosomal RNA". It matches the Rfam family "Bacterial small subunit ribosomal RNA", at positions 524 to 776 of the family's 1533-position model. The record is from RNAcentral.
UACGUACUGUGCAAACGUUAUUCGGAAUCACUGGGCUUAAAGAGUCCGUAGGCGGCCUGUUAGGUGAGGUGUGAAAUCCCCCGGCUCAACCGAGGAAUUGCGCUUCAAACCGGCGUGCUAGAGGAAGAUAGAGGUGGGCGGAACUGAUGGUGGAGCGGUGAAAUGCGUAGAGAUGUGGAGGAACACCAGUGGCGAAGGCGACUCUUUGGCCUGUAACUGACGCUGAGGCGCGAAAGCGUGGGGAGCAAACAGG